AACGGUAGCUAAUACCGCAUAACGUCGCAAGACCAAAGAGGGGGACCUUCGGGCCUCUUGCCAUCGGAUGUGCCCAGAUGGGAUUAGCUAGUAGGUGGGGUAACGGCUCACCUAGGCGACGAUCCCUAGCUGGUCUGAGAGGAUGACCAGCCACACUGGAACUGAGACACGGUCCAGACUCCUACGGGAGGCAGCAGUGGGGAAUAUUGCACAAUGGGCGCAAGCCUGAUGCAGCCAUGCCGCGUGUGUGAAGAAGGCCUUCGGGUUGUAAAGCACUUUCAGUCAGGAGGAAAGGUUAGUAGUUAAUACCUGCUAGCUGUGACGUUACUGACAGAAGAAGCACCGGCUAACUCCGUGCCAGCAGCCGCGGUAAUACGGAGGGUGCGAGCGUUAAUCGGAAUUACUGGGCGUAAAGCGUACGCAGGCGGUUUGUUAAGCGAGAUGUGAAAGCCCCGGGCUUAACCUGGGAACUGCAUUUCGAACUGGCAGACUAGAGUGUGAUAGAGGGUGGUAGAAUUUCAGGUGUAGCGGUGAAAUGCGUAGAGAUCUGAAGGAAUACCGAUGGCGAAGGCAGCCACCUGGGUCAACACUGACGCUCAUGUACGAAAGCGUGGGGAGCAAACAGGAUUAGAUACCCUGGUAGUCCACGCCGUAAACGAUGUCUACUAGAAGCUGGGGUCCUCGGACAACUUUUCAAAGCUAACGCAUUAAGUAGACCGC
Molecule: ribosomal RNA, 720 nt
Filed under: uncultured bacterium
Lineage: Bacteria
Description: bacterial SSU rRNA
Rfam family: Bacterial small subunit ribosomal RNA
Source: RNAcentral